This 501-nucleotide ribosomal RNA is filed under the name Escherichia coli. Its description in RNAcentral is "bacterial LSU rRNA". It matches the Rfam family "Bacterial large subunit ribosomal RNA", at positions 419 to 922 of the family's 2925-position model. Lineage: Bacteria; Pseudomonadati; Pseudomonadota; Gammaproteobacteria; Enterobacterales; Enterobacteriaceae. The record is from RNAcentral.
GGGACACGUGGUAUCCUGUCUGAAUAUGGGGGGACCAUCCUCCAAGGCUAAAUACUCCUGACUGACCGAUAGUGAACCAGUACCGUGAGGGAAAGGCGAAAAGAACCCCGGCGAGGGGAGUGAAAAAGAACCUGAAACCGUGUACGUACAAGCAGUGGGAGCACGCUUAGGCGUGUGACUGCGUACCUUUUGUAUAAUGGGUCAGCGACUUAUAUUCUGUAGCAAGGUUAACCGAAUAGGGGAGCCGAAGGGAAACCGAGUCUUAACUGGGCGUUAAGUUGCAGGGUAUAGACCCGAAACCCGGUGAUCUAGCCAUGGGCAGGUUGAAGGUUGGGUAACACUAACUGGAGGACCGAACCGACUAAUGUUGAAAAAUUAGCGGAUGACUUGUGGCUGGGGGUGAAAGGCCAAUCAAACCGGGAGAUAGCUGGUUCUCCCCGAAAGCUAUUUAGGUAGCGCCUCGUGAAUUCAUCUCCGGGGGUAGAGCACUGUUUCGGCAAG